This is a long non-coding RNA of Equus caballus (horse), 3407 nucleotides long. The record is from Ensembl. NCBI's taxonomy places the organism in Eukaryota, Metazoa, Chordata, Mammalia, Perissodactyla, Equidae.
GGGCGCCGAGCAGCAGCCCCGGCAGGCCAGCUUUGGAGAAGCGUGUGUGUGGAAGUUCAGGGGCUAGAAGUUGGGUUCCCUGACUCUCCGUCCGCGCGCCUGCUGCAGAGUCUCUGUCUGGGGUCCAGCCCUCACCACACGGCGCCGUCAGAGGGGACAUUGAGGAGGGACGAGACGGUUAGCAUCUCCUCCGAUGCAGCGCUGCCUUCCUGAAUCAGGCAGACCCGGCCCGGGCCUUGCUGUGGAGGAACCAGGCGACGCCGGGACCCCGUGGGGCCUUCACCCAGGCUGGGCUGUCCCCCCAAGGUGCUGCCCACGGCGUCCCUGGACCUGAGCCGGAAGCUGGUGCGCUCCGUGGGGAUGCUCCCAACCCAGCCCGCUGACGUUUUCCAGCCGUCCUGGCAGCUGAAGAUUCAAUGUGUCACCUAGAAACCCAGCCCUUGGAAAAAAUCUCAACUGUGUUCCACGUGAGGGGCCAUGGGUGGCCAGGUUUUCAGGAUGCACGUGUUGACUUUUGACUUCCAAGUCCCAAAGCUCGCUUCAGUAGUUCCAGGCGGUUAUGACGGUGGCUCGCUGGCCUGAAUGAUCUUAAUCACGAAAGCACUUGUGUACAGCUUUAUAAUUCGACGUCUGUAUGCACUACACAGCGCUCCCCGCCACCGCCUGCUUCCCACCCUCACCGCGCCGCCCACGCGCGGUGGUCAGCUGGCCGGCCGGCGCGGCGCUGGCUGGUGGCCUCCCCGAGACACGCAGGCACCGAGACUUCCGUGGGGACCGAGGCGUCCGGGUCCUGCCCCUCACUCCUCCCUCUGCUCGUGGCCCUGACGGACCAGGCACAUGGAUUCACCUGUGGAAGCCACAGAACAUUUGUGGCCCAAGAAGAUUCAAGCGACAGCAAAAUGAAGACUAAUCAAGUCAGGGGACGCUUCCUUUUCCUACAACCAGACUCCAGUCCCCCAGAAUCUGUGUUUGUGAAAACUCCAGAGGAAGACAAACAACACUCUCUCCAGUGCUCCCCUCUUGCCUCGUCCCCCUAAAGUCUUUCCAUUUUCUUGCCGUGUCCCCCUGUUCCCUCUGUAGAAGCCAGCACAGUUUCUGCGGCCGGCGAGUGGGCAGGCAGGGGGGCUGACGGGGACAGGGGAAGGCACCUACCUGAGGCUUCCUUCUUGUGAAGAGGACUCGAGGCCUUCCGGCCAUCUGGGACCAGCUCCUCUGGACAAAGAUGGCGGGCCUGGGCUUCCUUUGGCUUGGUGCCGGGUGUAUACAAACACGGCAGGUUACCACGGGUCCCAGUUCAUCGGAUAUAUUCCUGGGGUGGGAGCAGCCUCGUUGGGCUUCCAGAAAACUCACCCAAGGAGGAAAAGCUCCUUCUGAGACAGAUGAGGCUGAGGAGAUGGGUUUUGUGCCUGUUUUUCUUGCGCCCAUUGUGUGUUUGCACAAGCCAAGCAAACCCCCUUGUGAAUCAUUUUGAUCCUCGCAAACUCUCGGCACAGCUCUCAAAAUUGCCCAAGGACCUUUCCAUCAGUUCAAAGAAAAAAUGUGUUGUUUUAGUCUAGCAACGUAUCUCUUUAUAGCCACAGAUUAUCACAGCAUGGAGGGAGCAUUGCACACCUGCAGGGAGGGGGCGGGGCGCCUGGUCGUAAAGGGCUUUUUUGGGUAGCGUAUUUUUCACUGAAUAUAGUUGAAAAUCACUUAUUUGGCUAUAGCCUUCUAUUCACGGGCCGACUCUAGAAGCAUGUAUUUUUUUUAAAGAUUGAACAAAAUUACCUUGCUGAGGAUUUGCAUGGGGUUGGUGUGGAGGCCACGGAGUGUGUGCUGGGGGAGUGGGUGCCCAGGGCUUCAACCUCUCUUCCUUUCAGGACCAAAUGUGUGCCGCUUGGUGGCCGCGGAGCUCCAUGAUGGCUGAGCUGCACCAGCCGAUGCUAUCUGUGAGCCUGUCCUGCGACCGCAAUGGCUCCUCCACGGCAGCAAGCUCGCUCUGAAGUCUCGAAGCUGUGUGGCGGCGGCCAUGGGGCCGUGGGGGAGGUGCCGGGGACAGGAGCCAGCAAUGUGUGAACGCAGGCCUCGGCAGCGAAGGACGUCCUGACUCUUGAGAGAAAAGGGAGAAGUUGCAAUGUCUGAAAAAAUGUUUGGUAACGUUGGCAAAUCUUUCUAAGAUUGUUUGAAGUUACAGUGGCACUUGAUCACAUUUUAAACACAGUAGAUCUCGACUUAAAAUGAGCCCAGGUAAGAACAACACUUUAGAGCAGCAGACUCAGGACGUGAGUAAAAUGCUGCCUUCUGGGGCAUCACCUGGUUGUUUCAGCCAGGAGUCGAGGAGAACUUCAUGAAGGUAGGAAUAAAGGAGGUUCAUCUGCAGUAGGGCGUCAACAGAGCGGCUGCAGACUCAGCUCCCCACGCGCUCUGCCAGCAGGGGCCACGUUUCCCCACGCACUGUGCCAGCGCAGGCCAUGACGCUUGCUGCUCACCGGGGCUGCUCGCGCCACCGGAGCUCUGGCGUCUCGCCGUGGUCAGGCUCGGUGGCAGCAGUGUGCCCACCUUCCUGAGGCAAUCCUAUUCAACUUGACUGAGAGUCUUUCCUGGAAGGAAACUUUGCUCCUUGCUCCUCAAAUCUAAUGCAGUAGAUUUUCGGAAGUUAGGCUCUAUAACAUCACUACGUACUCUGAUUUAGUGACUCCUGUGCCGCUGCCCCUGAGGGAGGUAGAAGGGUGGGUUCGGUGAGAGUCUGGUCACGGCAUUUUCAUCAGCAGAUCCACACACAACCUUGUUUCUUGCGUGUUUCUGUUCAGACACCUUCUUUAAUGCAUAGUGUGGAUUCAGCACCUUUGAGCUCACAGCCUGAACGACAGUCGUCUAGCACGUCUCCUUUUUCCUUGAGGUACAUCCCAGCCCUCUGGCCCUUAGGAAGACCGUACACACUUCAACACUCUGCUUGGGGCCAUUUUAAACAGUGACAUCACCAACAAAAAGCACAAAAAUGCAAAAACAAGGGCACUAGGUAGACUGUGAAACGGACACGUUUACAGCAUGAGAGCUGAACCAAGGAGGUGGAGCAUCAUCUUUCUCAACCUCACCUGAGACCACGUGCACCAGGAGACUCUGCGUUGUUACAGUUCUGCACACGUCCACGAAUGAGCCUGAAAACUCUGAGGACACUGAUUUUGGGGUUACAAAUGAAUUUUAUCGAGUAAGAGAAUUUGCAAAUAUGCAAUCCGUCAAUUAUGAGGAUCGACUAUAUAUUGAUGAAACCAACGUGCAUUUUUAAGCUCUCCUGAUUCUGGGUAAUGAUUAUUAUUUGGUAAUUUAAUUUUUGGUCUUAUGUAAUGUCAAAGCAAAGAUAAUUACCAUUUAAAAAAUUAACUGCAUUUAUACAGUGUUUUGUUAAUAAAGACAGAUGGUUUUGAAAA